AGAGUUUGAUCCUGGCUCAGGAUGAACGCUGGCGGCGUGCUUAACACAUGCAAGUCGAGCGAAGCAGUUAAGGAGAUUCUUCGGAUGAUUCUUAACUGACUGAGCGGCGGACGGGUGAGUAACGCGUGGGUGACCUGCCCCAUACCGGGGGAUAACAGCUGGAAACGGCUGCUAAUACCGCAUAAGCGCACAGAGCUGCAUGGCUCGGUGUGAAAAACUCCGGUGGUAUGGGAUGGGCCCGCGUCUGAUUAGGCAGUUGGCGGGGUAACGGCCCACCAAACCGACGAUCAGUAGCCGGCCUGAGAGGGCGACCGGCCACAUUGGGACUGAGACACGGCCCAAACUCCUACGGGAGGCAGCAGUGGGGAAUAUUGCACAAUGGGGGAAACCCUGAUGCAGCGACGCCGCGUGGAGGAAGAAGGUCUUCGGAUUGUAAACUCCUGUUGUUGAGGAAGAUAAUGACGGUACUCAACAAGGAAGUGACGGCUAACUACGUGCCAGCAGCCGCGGUAAAACGUAGGUCACAAGCGUUGUCCGGAAUUACUGGGUGUAAAGGGAGCGCAGGCGGGCGAUCAAGUUGGAAGUGAAAUCCAUGGGCUCAACCCAUGAACUGCUUUCAAAACUGAUUGUCUUGAGUAGUGCAGAGGUAGGCGGAAUUCCCGGUGUAGCGGUGGAAUGCGUAGAUAUCGGGAGGAACACCAGUGGCGAAGGCGGCCUACUGGGCACCAACUGACGCUGAGGCUCGAAAGUGCGGGUAGCAAACAGGAUUAGAUACCCUGGUAGUCCACACCGUAAACGAUGAUUACUAGGUGUUGGAGGAUUGACCCUUUCAGUGCCGCAGUUAACACAAUAAGUAAUCCACCUGGGGAGUACGACCGCAAGGUUGAAACUCAAAGGAAUUGACGGGGGCCCGCACAAGCAGUGGAGUAUGUGGUUUAAUUCGACGCAACGCGAAGAACCUUACCAAGUCUUGACAUCCUGCGACGAUGCUAGAAAUAGUAUUUUCCUUCGGGACGCAGAGACAGGUGGUGCAUGGUUGUCGUCAGCUCGUGUCGUGAGAUGUUGGGUUAAGUCCCGCAACGAGCGCAACCCUUAUGGUCAGUUACUACGCAAGAGGACUCUGGCCAGACUGCCGUUGACAAAACGGAGGAAGGUGGGGAUGACGUCAAAUCAUCAUGCCCUUUAUGACUUGGGCUACACACGUACUACAAUGGCGUUAAACAAAGAGAAGCAAGACCGCGAGGUGGAGCAAAACUCAGAAACAACGUCCCAGUUCGGACUGCAGGCUGCAACUCGCCUGCACGAAGUCGGAAUUGCUAGUAAUCGCAGAUCAGCAUGCUGCGGUGAAUACGUUCCCGGGCCUUGUACACACCGCCCGUCACACCAUGAGAGCCGGGGGGACCCGAAGUCGGUAGUCUAACCGCAAGGAGGACGCCGCCGAAGGUAAAACUGGUGAUUGGGGUGAAGUCGUAACAAGGUA
This 1480-nucleotide ribosomal RNA is filed under the name metagenome. RNAcentral's name for it is "bacterial SSU rRNA". It matches the Rfam family "Bacterial small subunit ribosomal RNA". The record is from RNAcentral.